AUGAACGCUGGCGGCGUGCCUAAUACAUGCAAGUCGAGCGCACAGACGAGGAGCUUGCUCCUCUGACGUUAGCGGCGGACGGGUGAGUAACACGUGGAUAACCUACCUAUAAGACUGGGAUAACUUCGGGAAACCGGAGCUAAUACCGGAUAAUAUAUUGAACCGCAUGGUUCAAUAGUGAAAGACGGUUUUGCUGUCACUUAUAGAUGGAUCCGCGCCGCAUUAGCUAGUUGGUAAGGUAACGGCUUACCAAGGCAACGAUGCGUAGCCGACCUGAGAGGGUGAUCGGCCACACUGGAACUGAGACACGGUCCAGACUCCUACGGGAGGCAGCAAUAGGGAAUCUUCCGCAAUGGGCGAAAGCCUGACGGAGCAACGCCGCGUGAGUGAUGAAGGUCUUCGGAUCGUAAAACUCUGUUAUUAGGGAAGAACAAAUGUGUAAGUAACUAUGCACGUCUUGACGGUACCUAAUCAGAAAGCCACGGCUAACUACGUG
RNAcentral lists this ribosomal RNA (496 nucleotides) under uncultured bacterium. RNAcentral describes it as "partial 16S ribosomal RNA". It matches the Rfam family "Bacterial small subunit ribosomal RNA", at positions 29 to 507 of the family's 1533-position model. The record is from RNAcentral.